This 1524-nucleotide long non-coding RNA is filed under the name Homo sapiens (human). RNAcentral describes it as "long intergenic non-protein coding RNA 1991". The record is from RNAcentral. Lineage: Eukaryota; Metazoa; Chordata; Mammalia; Primates; Hominidae.
GUGGUCUCUCCUCUUCCCAUACACACCUUACGGAUUCUUCACAGGGUGUGAUGAUGGGAAGCCUAGACACGCUUAUCAGAAGUUUGUCCUCUUAUCGGGAUACGUCAGAAAUUAGAGAGACCCUGGCAAUCACAGCUUCCACCUCCUCAUUUUACAAAUGAGCAACUAGGCUCAGAGUACAGAAGUGGCUUUCCCAGGGUCACACAGCCAGCUUGUGACAGAGUCAGGAUUCAAGUACCAUCUCCUGACUUCUCCAUUGCACCAGACGUCGAUAGAACACAGAGAACCUAAAAGAAGAAAGAAAAAAAAAUAGAGCUUUUGGGAAUAUAUUGGGCUUCUGGUUUUCAAGGACAAUUUUAUGAUAAGUAGCAAUGAUGCCUCAAAAGCUCUGGUAGCUAGCUUGAAUGAACUUAUGUAAUAAACAUUUAUCACAGAACAUGUGUCAUCAAACACCUGCCAGUUCUGAGCGUUGGCACCAAAGCUGCUUUCAUUGUCAAAGAAAAGAGGGGGAAAGGAACUUGGCUGAACAAAGCUGGCAGACGUUUAUACUAGAAAAUUUAGAGGUAAUUUCUAGAGGAACAGAAACACAUUUUCAAAGUCUUAUAAAAUUUAUUUAAAUGUGAUUGGGUGAAUUUAGCAGUUAAAGAAGUGAAGAACACUGAGGUCCAAUUGGUGCCUGAGGCUUCUUCCAGGACCCAGUCUUUUCUGUCUGCCUUGGGCACAGAUUUCUAGAUGCCUGAAGAUGGACAGGCCCAGAGGUUGCCCAGAGUGAUGUCUGAGAUUACUGAUCUCUAUCUAGGCUUCCAUAGAAACACAUCCCAAAACGUUCUUGGUUCUUAUUGGAAUCUCAUCUCAUUUGCAGAACAUGGCCAGAGUCAAAGAGACAUGGACCAUGUGUCACUCAGACUGAGUCCAUCCAUACAAAGAGAAUUCUCUAGCCUGUAUUGGAAGUCAAUCUACAUCAGCAUGACAGGGCAUGUAGCCGAAUACGUGGCCACUUCCCUUUGGCUACCCACACAUUUUUGAACUGCAAGAUCUGUUCUUUAUCUACUCAUCUAAUGGUUAUUACUGGGAGAGCACUGGACUAUAAAUUCUGUUGCACUUGCAGGUGUAAUGAGCUCUUUGAACCUCAGUUUCCUCACCCAUCAGAUACUAUUCAUUAUCUGCCUUGCGGACAACACCUAGUUGUUGGGAACAUUGCAUGAAUGGCAGGUGGAGGUGCUUUGUAAACGCUAAAGCCUGCCAUGAAUGUGAAGGAGUGUUGCUACUCUUCUGUGCCCAACAAUGUGCUAGCACCAAGGGAGUUCAAAAGAAAUGUGAGACAUGGUCCCUACCCUCCAGGAACUUACAACUCAUUGUUGGGAGACCAAGACACAUCCCCUAAAAACAGAUAUGUAACACCUCAAGUCUGUGAAGUACUUACUAUUUAAAUGAUGCCCAGAGCCUCUGAAUCCCCUAGAAGUACAGAGGAGGGGGAGAUCAUUAAUGGUGUGGAGAAGUUGGAGGAGGUGAGACGAUGCCAGG